RNAcentral lists this ribosomal RNA (253 nucleotides) under uncultured bacterium. RNAcentral's name for it is "partial 16S ribosomal RNA". It matches the Rfam family "Bacterial small subunit ribosomal RNA", at positions 524 to 776 of the family's 1533-position model. The record is from RNAcentral.
UACGAAGGGGGCUAGCGUUGCUCGGAAUCACUGGGCGUAAAGCGCACGUAGGCGGAUUGCUAAGUCAGGGGUGAAAUCCUGGAGCUCAACUCCAGAACUGCCUUUGAUACUGGCGACCUUGAGUCCGGGAGAGGUGAGUGGAACUGCGAGUGUAGAGGUGAGAUUCGUAGAUAUCGGGAGGAACACCAGUGGCGAAGGCGGCUACCUGGCCCAUUCUUGACGCUGAGGCGCGAAAGCUAGGGGAGCAAACGGG